Molecule: ribosomal RNA, 444 nt
Filed under: uncultured bacterium
Lineage: Bacteria
Description: bacterial SSU rRNA
Rfam family: Bacterial small subunit ribosomal RNA
Source: RNAcentral
GGUCCUACGGGGGGCUGCAGUGGGGAAUAUUGGACAAUGGGGGCAACCCUGAUCCAGCCAUGCCGCGUGAGUGAUGAAGGCCUUAGGGUUGUAAAGCUCUUUCGUCAGGGAAGAUAAUGACGGUACCUGAAGAAGAAGCCCCGGCUAACUUCGUGCCAGCAGCCGCGGUAAUACGAAGGGGGCUAGCGUUGUUCGGAAUUACUGGGCGUAAAGCGCACGUAGGCGGACAUUUAAGUCAGGGGUGAAAUCCCGGGGCUCAACCCUGGAACUGCCUUUGAUACUGGGUGUCUUGAGUACGAGAGAGGUGAGUGGAAUUCCGAGUGUAGAGGUGAAAUUCGUAGAUAUUCGGAAGAACACCAGUGGCGAAGGCGGCUCACUGGCUCGUAACUGACGCUGAGGUGCGAAAGCGUGGGGAGCAAACAGGAUUAGAUACCCCUGUAGUCG